GAAUUUUUAAAUGUUGAAACAAACUCACAGCAUGGUUCUAACUCAAGACAACACAUGAGCCCAAGAUCUGAACUUGGUGAGGGUAAUGAACAUGUUCAUGGUGAAGAAGAGGAUGACUAUGUGGAGAAUGAAAAUUGUAAUGAGGAACCUGAUGGUGACGCCAAUCAACAUGUUGUAGCCCCUACAACCUCGCCUGCCAUGAACAUUACAACAUCAGCAAGGAAUGAUGUCCAACACUUUUCACAUGAUGCACUUUUAAUCCAAACAAUAAGCUAGCGGGUGAGGCUCUUGGAA
Sorghum bicolor (sorghum) is the source of this 294-nucleotide long non-coding RNA. RefSeq lists it as uncharacterized. The record is from RefSeq and is a predicted model, not a curated record. The transcript is spliced from 3 exons. NCBI's taxonomy places the organism in Eukaryota, Viridiplantae, Streptophyta, Magnoliopsida, Poales, Poaceae.